GAUGAACGCUGGCGGCGUGCCUAAUACAUGCAAGUCGAGCGAACGGACGAGAAGCUUGCUUCUCUGAUGUUAGCGCCGGACGGAUGCGUAACUCGUGGAUAACCUACCUCUACGACUGGGGUAACUUCGGGAAACCGGAGCUACUACCGGAUAAUAUUUUGACCCGCAUGGUUCCAACGUGAAAGACGGUCUUGCUUUCGCUAAUAGAUGGAUCCGCGCUGCAUGAGCUAGUUGGUAAGGUAACGGCUUACCAAGGCAACGAUGCAUAGCCGACCUGAGAGCGUGGAUGGACACACGGGAUCUGAGACACAGCCCAGACACUGACAGUGGGAAGCAGUAGAGAAUCUUCCGCGAGGGGCGAGUGCCUGACGGAGCAACGCCGCGGGAGGGAUGAUGGACUUCGGAUCGGAGAGCGCUGUUGGUAGGGAAGAAGAAAUGUGUAAGUAACUGUGCAGAUCUUGACGGUACCGAAUCAGAAAGCCACGGCUAACUACGUG
Molecule: ribosomal RNA, 497 nt
Filed under: uncultured bacterium
Lineage: Bacteria
Description: partial 16S ribosomal RNA
Rfam family: Bacterial small subunit ribosomal RNA
Source: RNAcentral